Molecule: ribosomal RNA, 433 nt
Filed under: uncultured bacterium
Lineage: Bacteria
Description: partial 16S ribosomal RNA
Rfam family: Bacterial small subunit ribosomal RNA
Source: RNAcentral
AGCGAACGCUGGCGGCAGGCCUAACACAUGCAAGUCGAACGAACUCUUCGGAGUUAGUGGCGGACGGGUGAGUAACACGUGGGAACGUGCCUUUAGGUUCGGAAUAACUCAGGGAAACUUGUGCUAAUACCGAAUGUGCCCUUCGGGGGAAAGAUUUAUCGCCUUUAGAGCGGCCCGCGUCUGAUUAGCUAGUUGGUGAGGUAACGGCUCACCAAGGCGACGAUCAGUAGCUGGUCUGAGAGGAUGAUCAGCCACAUUGGGACUGAGACACGGCCCAAACUCCUACGGGAGGCAGCAGUGGGGAAUCUUGCGCAAUGGGCGAAAGCCUGACGCAGCCAUGCCGCGUGAAUGAUGAAGGUCUUAGGAUUGUAAAAUUCUUUCACCGGGGACGAUAAUGACGGUACCCGGAGAAGAAGCCCCGGCUAACUUCGUG